GACGAACGCUGGCGGCGUGCCUAAUACAUGCAAGUUGAGCGAUGAAGCUUGGUGCUUGCACCAAUUUGAAGAGCAGCGAACGGGUGAGUAACGCGUGGGUAAUCUGCCUUUGAGCGGGGGACAACAUUUGGAAACGAAUGCUAAUACCGCAUAACAACUUUAAACAUAAGUUUUAAGUUUGAAAUAUGCUAUUUCAUCACUCAAAGAUUAUCCCGCGUUGUAUUAGCUAGUUGGUGAGGUAAAGGCUCACCAAGGCGAUGAUACAUAGCCGACCUGAGAGGGUGAUCGGCAACAUUGGGACUGAGAAACGGACCAAAGUCCUACGGGAGGAAGCAGUAGGGAAUAGGCGGCAAUGGACGAAAGUAUGACCGAGCAAAGCCGCGUGAGUGAAGAAGGUGUGCGGAUCGUAAAACUCUGUUGGUAGAGAAGAACGUUGGUGAGAGUGGAAAGCUCAGGAAGUGACGGAAAAAAACAAGAAAGGGACGGCUAACUACGU
Molecule: ribosomal RNA, 496 nt
Filed under: uncultured bacterium
Lineage: Bacteria
Description: partial 16S ribosomal RNA
Rfam family: Bacterial small subunit ribosomal RNA
Source: RNAcentral